Molecule: ribosomal RNA, 1434 nt
Filed under: human gut metagenome
Description: bacterial LSU rRNA
Rfam family: Bacterial large subunit ribosomal RNA
Source: RNAcentral
UGGGCUCGGAGAUGUGUAUAAGAGACAGCCUUUAAAGAGUGCGUAAUAGCUCACUAGUCGAGUGAUUCUGCGCCGAAAAUGUAUCGGGGCUAAGCAUAAUACCGAAGCUGCGGGAUUAGAUGAAGAAUCUAAUCGGUAGGGGAGCGUACUAAGUGCGUAGAAGGUUGACCGGAAGGGCAGCUGGAGCGCUUAGCAGUGAGUAUGCCGGUGUGAGUAGCGAUAAGAUGGGUGAGAAUCCCAUCCGUCGAAAGCCUAAGGUUUCCAGGGGUAAGGCUCGUCCUCCCUGGGUAAGUCGGGUCCUAAGGUGAGGCUGAGAAGCGUAGCUGAUGGACAUCAGGUUGAUAUUCCUGAACCACCAUAAAACUGAAGGAAUGACGGAGGAGGCUAAUCAGAGCUGAUUAAUGGAUUUCAGUUUAAGUACAAAGAGGGUUACGUAGGCAAAUCCGCGUAGCAAAACCUUGAAGUAUGACGACGUAAGUCUGGUGAAGCCACACUUCCAAGAAAAGUUUCUAGGUGUAUUUUAUGGUGCCCGUACCGUAAACGGACACACGUAGGCGAGGAGAGAAUCCAAAGACGCGCGAGAUAAUUCUUGUUAAGGAACUCUGCAAAAUUACUCUGUAACUUCGGAAUAAAGAGGGCUCCCGUGAGGGAGACGCAGAAAAUAGGCCCAAGCGACUGUUUAACAAAAACAUAGGUUUCUGCUAAAGCGUAAGCUGAUGUAUAGGAGCUGACGCCUGCCCAGUGCUGGAAGGUUAAGAGGAGAAGUUAGUCGCAAGGCGAAGCUUUGAAUUGAAGCCCCAGUAAACGGCGGCCGUAACUAUAACGGUCCUAAGGUAGCGAAAUUCCUUGUCAGGUAAGUUCUGACCCGCACGAAAGGCGUAACGAUUUGGGCGCUGUCUCAACAAGAAACUCGGUGAAAUCAUAGUACCUGUGAAGAUGCAGGUUACCCGCGAUCAGACGGAAAGACCCCAUGGAGCUUCACUGCAACUUAAUAUUGAUAUUGGGUGUGUGAUGUACAGGAUAGGUGGGAGACAAAGAAGCGAGUACGCUAGUAUUCGUGGAGUCAACCUUGGGAUACCACCCCUCGCACAUUUAGUAUCUAACUAGUUUCCAUAAGCUGGGAAUAGAACAGUGUUAGGUGGGCAGUUUGACUGGGGCGGUCGCCUCCCAAAGAGUAACGGAGGCGCCCAAAGGUUCCCUCAGAAUGGUUGGAAAUCAUUCGAAGAGUGUAAAGGCAGAAGGGAGCUUGACUGCGAGACCGACAGGUCGAGCAGGUGCGAAAGCAGGGCUUAGUGAUCCGGCGGUAUGAGAGUGGAAUUGCCGUCGCUCAACGGAUAAAAGCUACCUCGGGGAUAACAGGCUGAUCUCCCCCAAGAGUUCACAUCGACGGGGAGGUUUGGCACCUCGAUGUCGGCUCGUCGCAUCCUGGGGCUG